GGCUGCCUGUCCCGCAGGCCCGUCACCAGCCAGCAGGCAGUGCCUACACACAUGGCAUAGGAAAUUCAGGCAGUGCCGUGCACCAUCUACCCCAGCCUGGCCUGAGCCCCCACAGCUGCUGCCCCUUGGGCCCCACUCACAGCUCUCUCAACACAGGCCACCACACACUCUCUGUCACCUGCCCCCACAUCGGGGGCAGGGCAGCUCUGAAUGUUUAGAAAGGGCAGGGCAUGGAGUGGGGGGAGGUGUGGCAGGGCUCCUGAACCCUCAAGGAAAGGGGCUCAAAAAGGGCAUGUGACUCCCCUGGGUCACACAGCAGGAGAGGACUAAGCAGUCCAGCCUGGCAUUCCCUCCUCUCACUGCAGCAAGCCCAGCUGCCCCGGCCAGGCCUCACCAGCCUCUUUCCAGAGCCAUAGACCUAACAUGUCUGGGCAAUGCCCAGAGGACAGCGGGGAGUCAGGACAGAGGCAGCCAGGGGAUGGAGUGGGAGGAGGGUGAGGAGAUGGAGUGCCCACCCCUCCUCCCCACAGCCAAGGCUUCACAAAGGCCCUUUGAGGCUGGCUCCCUCCCCACCUACUUGACAAAGAAAGAGAGGAAGGCGUGGGAGAGGGGGACCAAGAAGCAGAACUCUUGUGGCCAGGCCAGGAGGAUCCUGGGCCUUCCAGAGAGUCAGUGCAGGUCCACAGAUUCUGUUGCAGCUCUUGGGACUGAGGUCAAGGGCACCAAGGGCUCUUUAUCUGGUGCCAGGAAGGUGGGGCCCAGGGAGGCAGGACUCCUGGAUCCUCAACUACCCCUGCUAGUAGCUCAAGGCAAUCCAGGACACGCCCCUUCCCCUCUUGGCUUCAGUUUCUCAGCCUCUCAACAGUCCCAGUCCAAGAACAUCUACAGGGAUUUUUCAGUCAGAAGUAACUUGAGAUCACAACCUGGGAGAGGCACUAGACAGCUACAUUGCAUUUUCCCAAAAAGCACACGGAUCAGAGGGAACUUUGGAAAAUGCAACUCUGACCCCGUCGCAGGCUGCUGAAAGCUUUGCCUUUGGUGUCCUCACAGCACACACAGCAAGGUCGAGCACCUUGGCCCCAGACCGGAGAUCCCAGGCACCAGCUUCCGCAGGCCCACAUGAGCCUGAGGGGCUCCAACCUGUGAGAUUCUGUUCCCUCUGCCUUUUUCCACCUGGCCCUUCAGGCAAAAGCCUCAUCACCCUUCACCUCCAAGAUGUGGCCACCUCUGAUUACUGGGCUGCGGGAGUCACAGCCUCUUCCUGGCCCUGAGCAUUCUUGGGACAGCACGGUCUCCCGCACUGAAGUCCCCUGGGGGACGACCCUCACAGCGUCACCAGCGCAGCCUGGGAGGCCAGGGAGGGGCCUGGGCAGUGACCUCCACCCAGGCCACCAGGGACCCCACUCUGCAGGAUCCACAGACAAGCAGCGGAACCCACCCCAGCCCACCCUCACAGCCAGGAAUCGGGGUUCAAGGCAAUGAAGCCACACCACGAGACCAAACAUUUCUGUGUAACAUACUCAGGAACCAAGAGCCAAGAGCCGUGGCCGGAGAGCUGCCACCUGUUCAUUAUCAGCCCCGCGGCCAGGGCUCCCCAGCUGCUGCCGGGCUGCGUGUGGAAUUUGGCACUGCACUUCCUUUACUCUCACGACCACCCUGUGAGGCUGCAGUGCCACCCCACAGCCCCUGAUCUACUCUUCCUUGGGCCUGCCCAGGGUAAUGGUGCAAUCCAUCUGAAGUAAAGUCCACAAUUUCCAGCGCAGUCCUGAGGGAAACCGAGGCAAGUAAUGGGAAUUAUGCAGGGCUGCUGUGCCCCUGGAAGGAGCCAACCCAUUAACUGAAGGCUGAGGAGCCUGCUGAGAGUGACAGCGGGAAGAGCGGUGAGGGAGAAGGGGCAAGACACCCCUCGGUCCCAAGAGAUGCCCCAUUUCCUGGACCAGAGAUGCAUGUGUACUUACUGCCUGCCAACAGUGCCAGUGGGCACACAGCUGCCAGCUUGCACAAAAUGCAACUGCAGCUCAGUGAGGUAAGGUGAGCUGCCCAAGCUCCCCAGACACCUGCUGUCUGGACUGGGACCCAGAUCCUCUGACUUCAGUGCCACCGCCUCAGCCAUGUGACACUGCUGCUCAUUCAAGGAGCUGGGUCCUCACAUGGAGGGAAAAAGGGAAGGGAGACACAGGAAGGGAAGGAGGUGAGCGUGGAUGGUGAGCAUGGGCACAACAGGCAGCAGAGAGGGAAAGGGGGCCAUCGUCUGUGCCUUUCAAGGGAGCUAAAAGCAGCUGUCCCCUGCUCUGCACCGGAAGCCACUUCACCUUCUGCCCUCAUAUCCGUACUGAGCCUGCUGGUGAGGGCUGCUGUGUGACCUCAGGCCAACGACUUAACUUCUCUGGCUGCCCCUCUGCCCAGGGACACCAGCAGCCCUGCCCCCUCCCACCCAUUCUCCCUGCCUUGGAGGCCUGAGGGAGAGAGGGAAGGAGCCCACAGAGCCAGCUCCCAGGUUUCAGGCUUCCAGCACACUCAUCCAGGAGCAUCAUUAGCACCAGGGGAAGGGUUUCCAUCAGAGUCAGCUCAGGAAGCAAUUUAAGCUACAAGAAUUAGAUCAGAGAAGCUGAAAGCAGGAGCCUGGAAAUCAGCUCUUGCAAUUCCGGUGUUUCCAAGCCUAGAGGGCCCAGAAAGGGGGAUCGAGUUGGCCCAGGUCACACAGCCAGGUUGGUAGAGAAAGAAGUUCUGGCUGCUCUCCAGGCCAGCAAGGGGCCAGUGCUGGGAGGGUCCACUCCUGGGGAGGAUGGAAGGGAUGUGGAGGCCACGAAGGGAGAGCCUGUCUAGGCCAGGGGCUGCACAGGGCCAGGCCCGGCUGACUGAGGGUCUGAUACGGCUGUGCCAUCUUUCCAGCCUCACCCACCUGCCAGGCUGACCUUGCCCUACUUAUAUGAGGUUCUUCUGGCCCCAGCCCUUGCACAGACUGCCCCUCUGCACCCUCCAUCUGCCCCAAAGUCACCUCCCACUGUAUCUACAGGGCCAAUACCCCCACAGGGUUGGCUCUCCUCUGCUCGCUCCAGGCAGAGCACUGCAGGCCACAGAUAGACCAGGAGGCAGGAAAGCUGCUCCUCGGGGGCCUUUUCUUUCUGAGCCUGAGCUUAGGGCCAUAGCCCUUCCUGUCUCCCCAGUGUUUUCAGCUGUUUGGGCCCAGCACGACCCCUGGGUGGGGUUCAGGACCAUUGGAGCUUCCCAGCUGACCUGUGUGCCUGCCCUCUUCCCUCCUGCCAAUCUUGUCCCCGCCAUUCUCCACCCUGGGCUGAAGCUCCAGGGCUCAAAGCUUCUCACAGCUCCCACAAAGCCAUUUCCUCAGGGCCUCUGCACACCAUCUUCCUCUGCUAUCCUUGUGCCCCUGGGAUGGCACCCAUUACACUGUACCCCGUCUGCGCAUGACUUGUCUGCCUCCCCAAACUGCCCUAUGCCCCUCCAGGGCAGGGGCGGUGUCCAGCUCCUCUCUCUAUCGCAGGGUCCAAGGUGGCACCAGGGACUGAGUAGCUGUGUUGCAUGAACCAACAAAGGUGAGUGCAGGAGGAAGUCCUUCAAGAACAGAAAAGGCUCAGAGAGUGGUGGCAGCUCCCAAGGGGAAUGAGCUUUCCACAUCACAGCUGCCAGCAUUCAGGUCUAUGGCAGCGAGUCCGGCCCCUUCACCCUGGUGCAGGCCUGGCUCUUCUCUCCUCCCCUUCCUGAUAGCUGGGUACCAGCUGGUGCCCACAUCCUCGCUGCCUGGGCUGCAGCCCUACCACCUUCUGCUGCAGCCCGGCCCUUCUCCAACUCCUGAGACUUGGCCUGAGCCCCCACUGCCCAUGUAAGCUAUGAGGGCCUGAGCAGGCCACAUCGCCUCGCUGGUCUGCAGGGUCCAUGUCUAGAAGAGACAAUGUGUCAGAGCCUCUGAGCCACUGUGAGGAGCAAACAAGACCCCACCAGGCAGAGCAGCUCUCUGAAUCCUUUAAUGCUCUGCGCCCUGAGGACCGACAAUCUCAGGCAAUUGACAUCUGGUCUUCACCCAUGAUGUGUCCAGACCCCUGCCAGGCAUGAAGGUGCUACAACAAGGCCUUGGGGCUCGGACAGGGCCUUGGGGUUCCUGUCCGCGCUGGUCUAGUGUGGGUAACAGAUACACAGCAGAAUGAAGCAUGUAUCAUUCAGAGGUUCCAGCAAGAGGAAAGCAGGAAGCCUCCACACAGUCCUGGCCACAGAGGCAGGAGAGAAAGGCCAUUCCAGGCAAAGGGAACAGUUCACAGAAAGGCUGAGGCACAAAAGACAUCUUUAUUAUCACAUCAGGCACCCCCUAAGAUGAGCACAGUGUUAACCUGGGACCUGCUUUGGGAAGCCCUGCUGGGAUACAGAGUCUGGAGGCUUGGGAUCUGCAUAACAGGCUGCAGGCUCUGGACAAAUUCCUUGAUGUUCCCAUCUACAAAAUGGCUUAGCUGGCCAUCAUGUCCAGGGAAGGCUCACUGGUAUCAAUCCUCCUCCUCCUGCGACCAGGGUAGCUGAGUCAGACCCAGCCUGCACAGCAAGGCCUUUGUGGACAAAGAGUGGAGGUUCUGAGUUGGGUCAGAAUGAGGGGGCUGGGGGAGCUCACCAGGGAGCUCCGGGAACCCAGUCUUCUGGCAGGUCAGUCAGAUCUAAGUGUGUGUCCCAACUGUACCAUUUAGCUGCUGUGUGUCCUUGGGCAAAGUGCAAACCCCUCUGAGCUGCUGUCAAUCAGCAAGCCUCCUCUGAGCCCUACUGGGUUCCAGCCUGUAAGGCAACAAAUGACAGAAAGAAAGUGGCAUCUGUUCCUGAGAAGCUCAGUCUGUCUUCACCUGGGACAUGGUUGGUACCCCUCUUUCAGGAGGCUGUGUGGCCUAGUCUGCUGUUCUCUGGACCUGCUGGAGGUGGCAGGGACAGUCUGGCUGUUUACAGGAUGGAACAAGGCCUCAUUUUCCAGUGGGCCAUGCUGCCCUGGCUGCAGAAGGAGGAGGGCUGAUACCAGUGAGCCUUCCUUGGACAUGACAACCACCUAAGUCAGCUUGUAGAUGGGAACACCAAGAAAUUUGUCUUUGAGGGAGAAGCCAAGGCCAGGCUCCAAAGCUGUGAGGAGGGGCAAGUCACUUACCUCUCUGAGCCUCUAAGACAUGGGGUCAUGGAGCCAGCAUCAGCCCCAGGGUGUAUUAAGAAUCAAGGACACAGCAAAGUCCAAAUCCAGCAACAAGAGGGCCUCAAAGUCAGCACGGGCCUCUAAGCCAGCAUACAAAGGGCCAAGAAUAGGCAGAGCCAUUUGAAGAGAACACUACUUACACUACUAAGUAACAAGGCUGAUCACAAAGCUCACUGGGCACUGUUUCACAGACCAGAGGAACAGUAUAUAGAAAGUUCAGAAAUAAGCUACAAGUAUAAGGACACCUGACAUAUGACAAAAGAGACACCACAAUGCACUAGAGAAAGGACUAAUCUUUUCAAUAAAUGGUGCUGGGUCAGUUGGCUAUCCAUAAGGAAAAACGGUUGUCUUACCCCUACCUCAAACCGUAUACAAAACUAAUUCCAGAUAGAGUUCAAAUCUGAGAGGUAAAACAAUAAAGCUUUUAGAAAAGAACAUGAGAAAAAGAGUAUAUCCAAAUGGCCUAAAACUGGAAGAAAAAGUGCUCAACAUCACUAAUCAUUAAGGAAAUGCAAAUUAAAACCACAAUACGAUACUGCUAUACCCCCACUAGAAUGACUUAAGUGAAAUACACACACACACACACACACACACACACACACACACACACAAUCCCAAGUGAAGCUCUUAUGCAUUGGUGAUAGGAGGAUAAAUUGGUAUAAUCACUUUGCAAAACCAUUUGACUAUAUCUAUAAUCUAGUAAUUCCACUGCUAAGAAUAUGUCCAAUAGAAAUGCAAGCAUAUAGUCACCAAAAAUCAUGUACAAGAAUGUUUAUUGCAGUAGUAUUUGUUAGAACUGAAAAUCAGAAACAAGCUAAAUGUUCAUCAACAAAUGAAUGAAUCAAUAUGUUGUUGUAUAUUCAUAUAAUGGAAUACUAAAGAAUAAUGAAAAUGAACAAAUUGUUGUUGCACACAACCCUAUGGAUGGAUCUUACAAGCAUAUUAUGCAAGAGAAGUAAUAUUACAUGAUUCUAUUUAAAUAUAAUUGAAAAUCAAGGCUAGCAUUACCCCAUUACCAAAGCCAGAUAAAGACACUACAAGAAAAGAAAAUUACAAGCCAUUAUCCCUUAUGAACGUAGAUGUAAAACCUUCAACAAAAUACUAGCAAGCAAGCUGGGUAUGAUGGUGCAUGCCUGUAGUCCCAGCUACUCAGGAGUCUCAGGCAGAUAGCAAGACCCAGUUUCUGGAAAAAAAAAAGGCAAAUAAUUCAGAAGCACAUUAAAAGGAUCAUUCACCAUGAUCAAGUAAUAUUUAUCUAAAGAAUGCAAGGAUAGUUCAACAUAUGCAAAUAAAUAAACAUGAUACAUAAUAUUAACAGAAUGAAGGGCAAAAAUUGGUCAUCUCGUUGAAUUUAAAAAAACACAUUUGACAAGAUUCAACAUCCUUUCAUGAUAAAAACUCUCAACAAAAUAGGUAUAGAAGGAAUACACAGAAGUCAGUAGUAUUUUUAUACAUUAACAACACAUUAUUCAAAAAACAGUCAAGAAAACAAUCCCAUUUACAAUAGUUACUAGGAGAAAAGAAAUGCUUGGGAAUAAAUAUAACCAAGAAGGUAAAAGACCUGUACACUGAAAAAUAUGAAACACUGAUGAAAGAAACUGAAGACACAAAUGAAUGGAAAGAUUCUGUAUACAUGGAUAAGAAGAAUUAGUAUUGUUAAAAUGUCCAUUCCACCCAAAACAAUCUACAGAUUCAGUUCAAUCUCCUAUCAAAAUUCCAAUGACAUUUUUUGUAGAAAUAAAAAACAAUCCUUAAAAUUCAUACAGAACCACAAAACACCCUGAAUAGUCAAAGCAAUCUUAAACAAAAAGAACAAAGCUGAAGGCAUCACACUACCUGACUUCAAAAUAUACUACAAAGCUAUAGUAACCAAAACAGCAUGGUACUGGCUCAAAAAUGGACACAUAGACCAAUGGAACAGAACAGAAUGCCCAGAAAUGAAUACAUACAUUUAAUAUGUCAAUUAAUUUUCAACAAAAGUGCCAAGAACACACAAAGGGGAAAGGAGAGCCUCUCCAAUAAUUGGUGUUGGGAAAACCGGAUGUCCACCUGCAGAAGAAUAAAAGUUUUCCUGUCUCUCAUCAUAUGCAAAAAUUGACUCAAAUGGACUAAACACUUAAAUAUAAGACCUGAAAUUGUGAAACUACUAGAAGAAAACACAGGAAAAGCUGUUAUGACAUUGAUCUGGACAAAGAUUUUUUAGAUAUUAUCCCAAAAUUACAGACAACAAAAGCAAAAACAGACAAAAGUGGAUUACAUAAAGCUAAAAAUUUUCUGCACAACAAAGAAAACAAUCAACAGAACAAAGAGAAGACCUACAGAAUGGGAGCAAAUGUUUGCAAACCAGGCAUCGGACACGAGUUAAUAUCCAGAAUAUAGAAGAAACUCAAGCAAAUCAAUAGCAAAAACAAAAAAAAAAAACAAACAAACAAACAAACAAACAAAACCACCGUAAUGAUCUGAUUUUAAAAUGGGCAAAUGAUCUGAAUAGACAUUUCUCUAAAGAAGACAUACAAACGGUCAAUAGGCAUGUAAAAAAAUGCUCAUCACUAAUCAUUAGGGAAAAGAAAAUCAAAACCACAAUGAGAUAUCACUUCCCACCUUUUGGCUUUUAUAAAAAAAGACAAAAGAGGCUGGGCAUGGUGGCUCAUGACUGUAAUCCCAGCACUUUGGGAGGCUGAGGUGGGUCAAAUAUCUGAGGUCAGGAGUUCGAGACCAGCUUGGCCAACAUGGUGAAACCUGUCUCUACUAAAAAUACAAAAAUAAGCUGGAUGUGGUGGCACACACCUGUAAUCCCAGCUACUCGGGAGACUGAGGCAAUAGAAUGGCUUGGACCCAGGGGUGGCGGGGGUGAGAUUGCAGUUAGUUAAGAUCACACCACUUCAUUCCAGCCUGGGUGAUAGAGCAAAACUCUAUCUCAAAAAAAAAAAAAAAAAAAAGCAUGAUAUCUUAUUAAAAAAAAAAGAUACAUCUUUUAUGAAAAAAAGACAAAAGUGUGAUAUCUUAUUAGAAAAAAACAAAAGACACAUCUUUUAUAAAAAGAACUUUAAAAAAUAUUUUUACAAAAGAUACUUUUUUUUACAAAAAAAAGAUGAGUGUAGGUGAGGAUAUGGCGAAAGGAAACCCUCGUACACUAUUGGUGGGAAUGUAAAUUAGUACAGCCAUUACAGAAAACAGUGUGGAGGUUUCUCAAAAAAUUAAAAAUAAAAAUACCUAUGAUCCAGCAAUCCCACUACUGGGUAUAAAUCCAAAGGAAGUAAAGUUGGUAUGUUGAAGACAUAUCUGCACUCCCGUGGCCACUGCAGGACUGUUCCCAGUAGCCAAGAUAUGGAAUCAACCUAAGAGUCCAUCAAUGGAUGAAUGGAUAAAGAAAAUGUGGUUAUAUACUGCAAUGUAAUACAAUUCAGCCAUAAAAAGAAGGAAAUCUCAUCACUAGUAACAACAUGGAUGAACGUGGAAGACAAUAUGCUAAGGGAAAUAAGCCAUGAUCUUCCUCAUGGGUGGAAUUUUUAAAAAGUUGAACUCAUAAAAGCAGAAAGUAGAAUGAUGGUUAACAGGGACUGAGGGGUGAGGGUGGGGAGGAAGGUUGCAGAGAUGUUGGUUAAAGGACACAAAAUUUCAGUUAGAUAAGAGGAAUUAGUU
This is a non-coding RNA of Callithrix jacchus (white-tufted-ear marmoset), 8815 nucleotides long. Lineage: Eukaryota; Metazoa; Chordata; Mammalia; Primates; Cebidae. The record is from RefSeq and is a predicted model, not a curated record.